ACACGACUACAUUAGAUACCCGGGUAGUCCCAGCCGUAAACUAUGCGCGUUAGGUGUAUCGGUGACCACGAGUUACCGAGGUGCCGAAGGGAAACCGUGAAACGUGCCGCCUGGGAAGUACGGUCGCAAGGCUGAAACUUAAGGAAUUGGCGGGGAGCACCACAACAGGUGGAGCCUGCGGUUUAAUUGGACUCAACGCCGGGAAGCUCACCGGAUAGGACAGCAGAAUGAUUGCCGGGCUGAAGACCCUGCAUGACUAGCUG
This 263-nucleotide ribosomal RNA is filed under the name uncultured archaeon. RNAcentral's name for it is "partial 16S ribosomal RNA". It matches the Rfam family "Archaeal small subunit ribosomal RNA", at positions 717 to 982 of the family's 1478-position model. The record is from RNAcentral.